Molecule: ribosomal RNA, 505 nt
Filed under: Staphylococcus aureus
Lineage: Bacteria; Bacillati; Bacillota; Bacilli; Caryophanales; Staphylococcaceae
Description: partial 23S ribosomal RNA
Rfam family: Bacterial large subunit ribosomal RNA
Source: RNAcentral
CAGACCACCAGCUAAGGUCCCAAAAUAUAUGUUAAGUGGAAAAGGAUGUGGCGUUGCCCAGACAACUAGGAUGUUGGCUUAGAAGCAGCCAUCAUUUAAAGAGUGCGUAAUAGCUCACUAGUCGAGUGACACUGCGCCGAAAAUGUACCGGGGCUAAACAUAUUACCGAAGCUGUGGAUUGUCCUUUGGACAAUGGUAGGAGAGCGUUCUAAGGGCGUUGAAGCAUGAUCGUAAGGACAUGUGGAGCGCUUAGAAGUGAGAAUGCCGGUGUGAGUAGCGAAAGACGGGUGAGAAUCCCGUCCACCGAUUGACUAAGGUUUCCAGAGGAAGGCUCGUCCGCUCUGGGUUAGUCGGGUCCUAAGCUGAGGCCGACAGGCGUAGGCGAUGGAUAACAGGUUGAUAUUCCUGUACCACCUAUAAUCGUUUUAAUCGAUGGGGGGACGCAGUAGGAUAGGCGAAGCGUGCGAUUGGAUUGCACGUCUAAGCAGUAAGGCUGAGUAUUAGG